This 164-nucleotide ribosomal RNA is filed under the name Thinopyrum intermedium. Its description in RNAcentral is "5.8S ribosomal RNA". It matches the Rfam family "5.8S ribosomal RNA". From Rfam's summary of the family: 5.8S ribosomal RNA (5.8S rRNA) is a component of the large subunit of the eukaryotic ribosome. It is transcribed by RNA polymerase I as part of the 45S precursor that also contains 18S and 28S rRNA. Functionally, it is thought that 5.8S rRNA may be involved in ribosome translocation. The record is from RNAcentral. Lineage: Eukaryota; Viridiplantae; Streptophyta; Magnoliopsida; Poales; Poaceae.
CACACGACUCUCGGCAACGGAUAUCUCGGCUCUCGCAUCGAUGAAGAACGUAGCGAAAUGCGAUACCUGGUUUGAAUUGCAGAAUCCCGCGAACCAUCGAGUCUUUGAACGCAAGUUGCGCCCGAGGCCACUCGGCCGAGGGCACGCCUGCCUGGGCGUCACGC